UUUUACAUUCCUAUCAGCAGUGUGUAUGGAUUCUAAUUUUUCUGCAUCCUCACCAUCACUUGUUAUUAUCUGACUUUUUAUUAUAACUUUCCUAAUGGGUAUAAAGUGGUAUCUCACUGGUUUUGUCUUACCCUGUUUCUCUUAAAGCUACCAUAAGCCACUGAGUUUCCCAGAAACACUUGAAUAUCUCCAAUCCAUUUUACCAUCUACUAUUGCCACUAGACGUCCAAGUGCUUGUCCUCUAUCACUUGAAUUAUUAUGACAACCUUAGCUAUAUAACUGACCUUCUUUUUUCCACCCUCUUCCCAUCGCCCAGCCAAAAAAAUCGCAUUAAACACCACUUGUAAUAUAAUGUACAGCUUAAAAGCCUGAGAAGUAUGGAAAGGAAAAACUUUCUGGGAAGCUUACAGUGGAAAAACCUAGCAAACAUUUUAAAUGAAGUGAUCGAGAUUAACAUCAGCAAUGAUGUGUCCUCUAAAAUAAUGUGAUAAAAAUACCUGUGUGGUAUUUUUCCUAAAACUUUUACCUCCAGGCUAAUCAUGAGAAAAUGUCCGACAAACCCAAAUUGAGGAAUAUUCGACAAACUUUCUGAUCAGCAUCCCUCAAAACUGUGAAGUUCACAAAAAACAAGGGAAGACUGAGAAGAGGAACUCAGAGUGAGGAGAUUAUGGAGACCAUGACAACUAAAUGUUUUGUGGGAUCCUGUACUGACUCCUGGAAAAGAAAAAGCACAUUAAUGGAAAAACCAGUGAAAUCUGAAUGAGGACUGGCUUUCAGAUGUUCUUCCAGUGUUCACUUUUAUUUUCAUCUGAAAGUGACAAAAUUGAACACAACUCUGAAAGCCCCUCUUCAUAAGAUGAGCAUACUGUGGACCAAGUGGGGAGCUAGGAAUUAGAAAUCAUUGCCUCUAAACCAGGGGAAUUUGUGGACUAUUUCUGUCGGGACUCAGUGACCUAAAGGAAUUGACCUACCGAGCAAUUUCUUUCAGUCUCCACCGUGUGAGUAAGUCAUGAAAACAACUCAAGGUAAGACAUAUAUAUUUAUGGCUGCACACGGUAAGACAUAUAUAUUUAUGGCUGCACACGGUGGCUGAAGCC
Molecule: long non-coding RNA, 1097 nt
Organism: Chlorocebus sabaeus (green monkey)
Lineage: Eukaryota; Metazoa; Chordata; Mammalia; Primates; Cercopithecidae
Source: RefSeq, a predicted model, not a curated record